AUGUGUGAUGUUACUACUUAUGUUACUUUCAUUGUGGGUAGUCUUAAAGUUCGCGUAAUCUUCAUUACGACUUGCCAUAAUGCUACAUGCAGAUGUAUUAUUGAUAGGCUAGCCUGCUACCCGCGUGAGCAUGCAGCACGUACUAGCAGCUACAUGCGGUGCAAAGCACACACACAAAAAGAUGAAAUACAUAUGAAACUAGAGCAGCCCCUUCGCAGAGCAGCACAGGGGAUAAGCUUUUCAGAAUUUGUGCAUGAAGAUCAUGGCCAUGGCCAGCAGGUCCACAAACCCCAGGAUGAUUCUCUUCAAGAAAUAAGGCGUGGCGAUGGACCAAUGCGUGGGAAAUCAAAUUUCCCCAACGUGCUUAAGUACUGUAUGUACUUGUUCUCCCAUCUCGAGAAACAGCAUCCUCCAUGCUGCAAUCUGCAAACGAAAAAGAAACUAUUAGCUAGAAGAUGGAUGGAAAGGAUAUUGAAAAACUUACUCCAUGCCAACCGCACUCUUAGAAAUGCUUAUGUUGCAUUCGAGGCAACGAAUGAGAGGGAGCGGAGGCAACUGGUUCGAGGUGUGUGUGUGAUGCAGGUGGUUUAG
RNAcentral lists this ribosomal RNA (591 nucleotides) under Triticum aestivum (bread wheat). RNAcentral's name for it is "partial small subunit ribosomal RNA". The record is from RNAcentral. Lineage: Eukaryota; Viridiplantae; Streptophyta; Magnoliopsida; Poales; Poaceae.